AGUAAGAAACCUUUUCAAAGACAUUGAUUAGUCUUUUUACCAAAAAAAAAUGUAGAUUAGUCUACAUCAUACUGCUAAAAGUACAGUCUCGUGACCAUGAUCGGUUGUCCGCAUGCCACGGAAUUGUGAUAGCUAUCAAGCUCUGUAGAAAUAAAAACAAGCCUAAAGCAAACUAAAUCCAAAGUUGGCCGCCAGAGUCUAACCCAC
Molecule: long non-coding RNA, 207 nt
Filed under: Elaeis guineensis (African oil palm)
Lineage: Eukaryota; Viridiplantae; Streptophyta; Magnoliopsida; Arecales; Arecaceae
Description: long non-coding RNA (EGUI_LNC026668)
Source: RNAcentral